GCUCCAGGUUUCUGGAGUUUGGGUGCAGAUUUCUGGAAACUAAAAACUGGUGUGAUUUGUGAUCUUCGUUCCACAUGCCACUGCUGCUGCUCUUGACACCAAAAAGGGAGCUUAGAAAGAACUUUUCUCUACCAUCAUCAGGACAGGAAGAAUAGCUGUGGAGAUGCUCAGGUAAGACUGAAAAGUAGCCAGGCAAAGAAGCACAACUUAGAAAUGUCCACAGUGUCCUUCGACUGGCUGGAAGACCCAUCUGGCUCCAAUAUGUUCACCUUCAAAGGUCACCUGCCUAGUGCCCACCUCACAGAAGGAACAGCUUCAUAAGCUCAUGUACUCAGAGGGAGGUUAUAUAUGAAGCAUAAGACAAUCUAUGUAAAGUACCUGAUACGAUGACUGACACAGAAUAACAACAAUUACAACAACAACACAAAAAGCACCUGCAGUGUAACAAGCAUAUUUUACAGUCAUCCCUUGGUAUCUACAGCAGACUGGUUCCAGGACGCCUGAGGAUACAAAAAUCCAUCGA
Molecule: non-coding RNA, 523 nt
Organism: Heterocephalus glaber (naked mole-rat)
Lineage: Eukaryota; Metazoa; Chordata; Mammalia; Rodentia; Bathyergidae
Source: RefSeq, a predicted model, not a curated record